AACGAACGCUGGCGGCAUGCCUAAUACAUGCAAGUCGAACGAGACCUUCGGGUCUUGUGGCGCACGGGUGCGUAACGCGUGGGAACCUGCCCUUAGGUUCGGAAUAACUCCCCGAAAGGGGUGCUAAUACCGGAUAAUGUCUUCGGACCAAAGAUUUAUCGCCUUUGGAUGGGCCCGCGUUGGAUUAGCUAGUUGGUAGGGUAAAAGCCUACCAAGGCGACGAUCCAUAGCUGGUCUGAGAGGAUGAUCAGCCACACUGGGACUGAGACACGGCCCAGACUCCUACGGGAGGCAGCAGUGGGGAAUAUUGGACAAUGGGCGAAAGCCUGAUCCAGCAAUGCCGCGUGAGUGAUGAAGGCCUUAGGGUUGUAAAGCUCUUUUACCCGGGAUGAUAAUGACAGUACCGGGAGAAUAAGCUCCGGCUAACUCCGUG
This 433-nucleotide ribosomal RNA is filed under the name uncultured bacterium. RNAcentral describes it as "partial 16S ribosomal RNA". It matches the Rfam family "Bacterial small subunit ribosomal RNA", at positions 29 to 507 of the family's 1533-position model. The record is from RNAcentral.